GACGAACGCUGGCGGCGUGCCUAAUACAUGCAAGUAGAACGCACAGGAUGCACCGUAGUUUACUACACCGUAUUCUGUGAGUUGCGAACGGGUGAGUAACGCGUAGGUAACCUGCCUGGUAGCGGGGGAUAACUAUUGGAAACGAUAGCUAAUACCGCAUAAGAACAUUUACUGCAUGGUAGAUGUUUAAAAGGUGCAAAUGCAUCACUACCAGAUGGACCUGCGUUGUAUUAGCUAGUAGGUGAGGUAACGGCUCACCUAGGCGACGAUACAUAGCCGACCUGAGAGGGUGAUCGGCCACACUGGGACUGAGACACGGCCCAGACUCCUACGGGAGGCAGCAGUAGGGAAUCUUCGGCAAUGGGGGGAACCCUGACCGAGCAACGCCGCGUGAGUGAAGAAGGUUUUCGGAUCGUAAAGCUCUGUUGUUAAAGGAAAGAAACGAAGUGUGAGAAAGGAAAAGUUCC
This 467-nucleotide ribosomal RNA is filed under the name Streptococcus intermedius. RNAcentral describes it as "bacterial SSU rRNA". It matches the Rfam family "Bacterial small subunit ribosomal RNA", at positions 28 to 494 of the family's 1533-position model. Lineage: Bacteria; Bacillati; Bacillota; Bacilli; Lactobacillales; Streptococcaceae. The record is from RNAcentral.